GUGGGGAAUCUUGCGCAAUGGGCGAAAGCCUGACGCAGCAACGCCGCGUGCGGGAUGAAGGCCUUCGGGUUGUAAACCGCUUUCAGCAGGGACGAAAAUGACGGUACCUGCAGAAGAAGCUCCGGCUAACUACGUUCCAGCAGCCGCGGUAAUACGUAGGGAGCAAGCGUUGUCCGGAUUUAUUGGGCGUAAAGAGCUCGUAGGCGGUUUCGUAAGUCGAGUGUGAAAAAUCUGGGCUUAACCCAGUGGAGCACUCGAUACUGCGAUGACUUGAGUCUGGUAGAGGAGUGUGGAAUUCCUGGUGUAGCGGUGAAAUGCGCAGAUAUCAGGAGGAACACCAACGGCGAAGGCAGCACUCUGGGCCAGUACUGACGCUGAGGAGCGAAAGCGUGGGGAGCAAACAGGAUUAGAAACCCUGGUAGUCC
RNAcentral lists this ribosomal RNA (425 nucleotides) under uncultured bacterium. Its description in RNAcentral is "partial 16S ribosomal RNA". It matches the Rfam family "Bacterial small subunit ribosomal RNA", at positions 354 to 796 of the family's 1533-position model. The record is from RNAcentral.